UUACCCACUCCCGGCACGGGGAGGUAGUGACGAAAAAUUACGAUACGGGACUCAUCCGAGGCCCCGUAAUCGGAAUGAGUACACUCUAAACCCUUUAACGAGGAUCAAUUGGAGGGCAAGUCUGGUGCCAGCAGCCGCGGUAAUUCCAGCUCCAAUAGCGUAUAUUAAAGUUGUUGCGGUUAAAAAGCUCGUAGUCGAAUUUGUGUCUCGCGCCGCUGGUUCAUCGUCCGCGGUGUUAACUGGCGAGUCGCGAGACGUCCUGCCGGUGGGCUUAGCUCGCAAGGGCGGCCCGACUCAAUCCUGCCGCGGUGCUCUUCAUUGAGUGUCGAGGUGGGCCGGCACGUUUACUUUGAACAAAUUAGAGUGCUUAAAGCAGGCUAAAACUUCGCCUGAAUACUGUGUGCAUGGAAUAAUGGAAUAGGACCUCGGUUCUAUUUUGUUGGUUUUCGGAACUCCGAGGUAAUGAUUAAUAGGAACGGAUGGGGGCAUUCGUAUUGCGACGUUAGAGGUGAAAUUCUUGGAUCGUCGCAAGNNGGACAGAAGCGAAAGCAUUUGCCAAAAACGCUUUCAUUGAUCAAGAACGAAAGUUAGAGGUUCGAAGGCGAUCAGAUACCGCCCUAGUUCUAACUAUAAACGAUGCCAGCUAGCGAUCCGUCGACGUUCCUCCGAUGACUCGACGGGCAGCUUCCGGGAAACCAAAGCUUUUGGGUUCCGGGGGAAGUAUGGUUGCAAAGCUGAAACUUAAAGGAAUUGACGGAAGGGCACCACCAGGAGUGGAGCCUGCGGCUUAAUUUGACUCAACACGGGAAACCUCACCAGGCCCGGACACCGGAAGGAUUGACAGAUUGAGAGCUCUUUCUUGAUUCGGUGGGUGGUGGUGCAUGGCCGUUCUUAGUUGGUGGAGCGAUUUGUCUGGUUAAUUCCGAUAACGAACGAGACUCUAGCCUGCUAACUAGGCGUAUUCGAGAUCCUAAAGGCCCGCCGGCUCGGGG
Molecule: ribosomal RNA, 992 nt
Filed under: Mogulones geographicus
Lineage: Eukaryota; Metazoa; Arthropoda; Insecta; Coleoptera; Curculionidae
Description: SSU rRNA
Rfam family: Eukaryotic small subunit ribosomal RNA
Source: RNAcentral